This 494-nucleotide unclassified non-coding RNA is filed under the name Hevea brasiliensis (rubber tree). The record is from RNAcentral. Lineage: Eukaryota; Viridiplantae; Streptophyta; Magnoliopsida; Malpighiales; Euphorbiaceae.
GACCAUCUGAAGAAAACAAGGAAAUUUAUUUGCAAUCGGAUGUAAACUGAAAAUAACUUUAUUUGAAAUUUUGAAAACAACUUUGAGUUUCUUAUCUCAGUAAAAACAUGGCACUAGAUAGAGCCAAGUGAGGAAAAAGAACUCAGGCAGCCAACCCCAAUUAUUUUUGGAAAUAAGACUUGCAAUAGAUAAAAAGUUUACUUUCAACAACACAAAAGAAAGCAAGGGAAAAAACAAAGACACGACUCACCAGCAAAUAUUUCCUAGUAAUGAAGAUAUCUGAAAAGCCAAUUACAAUUUUAAUCUAAACAUCAGCGCAAAUAUACCCAAAUCAAAAACCUUCCCCAGUACCACAUCACCAUGUGUCAUAACUAUUUUAUAGUAUAAGCUAAUAACCAUCACCACAACAGGUUUGAUAUGACACAUGUAUAAUGCAUUACAAUAGCUAUAAUGGACCAAGAAAUACCUUAAGAAUAAAAUGCAAUAAGACCAAC